RNAcentral lists this ribosomal RNA (433 nucleotides) under uncultured bacterium. RNAcentral's name for it is "partial 16S ribosomal RNA". It matches the Rfam family "Bacterial small subunit ribosomal RNA", at positions 29 to 507 of the family's 1533-position model. The record is from RNAcentral.
AACGAACGCUGGCGGCAUGCCUAACACAUGCAAGUCGAACGGGACCUUCGGGUCUAGUUGCGCACGUGUGCGUACCGCGUGGUAACCUGCCUUUAGGUUCGGAAUAACUCAGAGAAGGUUGAGCUAAGACCGGAGGAUGUCUUCGGGCCAAAGAGUUAUCGCCGUUAGAUGGGCCCGCGUUGGCUUAGCUGGUUGGGGGGGUAAAGGCCUACCAAGGCGACGAUCCAUAGCUGGUCUGAGAGGAUGAUCAGCCACACUGGGACUGAGACACGGCCCAGACUGCUACGCGAGGCAGCAGUGGGGAAUAUUGGACAAUGGGCGCAAGCCUGACACAGCAAUGCCGGGUGAGUGAUCAAGGCCUUAGGGUUGUACAGCUCUUUUAGCCGAGAUGAUAAUGACAGUAUCGGGAGAAUAAGCUCCGGCUAACUACGUG